Long non-coding RNA from Mustela lutreola (European mink), 4547 nucleotides. RefSeq lists it as uncharacterized. Lineage: Eukaryota; Metazoa; Chordata; Mammalia; Carnivora; Mustelidae. The transcript is spliced from 3 exons. The record is from RefSeq and is a predicted model, not a curated record.
AGGUGGGUCAGGACAUAGGUGUAGUUAAUCAUUUCUAGUUAAUGUCUCGAGGUUUUAGUAUAUGAAACAGUUACUGAAGGGCCUUGCAUAUGGGAUCCAGGCAUAAACCAGUGAGAGGCACGAUUAGGGCUCAGACUUUCCCAUACCGGAGUGUGAAUUCCACAGUUUGCCAUAUGGUUCUGUUUCAGGCCCUGAGUUCUGUUUCAGUCCUGCCUUCUCAGGGCUCACAGCAUCAGAGGAGAGAGAUGGUAUGCAAUGAGGUUUGGUACAGUGUGUAAGGAUGGGACCAGGAUCUUUCCAGAACUUUUUUAGGAUCUGGGAACAAAAUCUAGGAAGAGGUGCUCCUAUGACUCCCAUCACUCAGGCCAUUACAGAGAUGUUAAGAGCUGUGCAGGAACUGAGGAGCAAGACAGAAUAUGUCCUUCUUACUGUGUCACACUAGCACAGUCUACACAGUGAAUGUUCCUUACGGAGAAGCUAGUGGGAGUGGGGUGCAAGGACCAAUGUUGGGGGGCUCUGGAGGCAUGCCCUGCCCUGACUGACAGUGCCUGGUCCUGAGGAGGAGGUGGGCAGGCCCCCCCACCCUGCAGGUCACCGUGGCUGGGAGCUCCAGGAGGACAAUGGGACCUUGGGGCAGUGACAGGAUGGCUAAGACAAUGACAGUGACUGAGCUUGGACAUGGAGCCUCUGCCAUCCAUGGUAGUCUCCAUGGGCGGGAGUCCAGUGGGCACUUCAUGGAGGGAUGAGAUGGACUCAAGAAGACGUGUUUCCUAUCGUUGCAGAGACACUUGAGGUUUGGGACAAGAACAUCAGCCGCACUGAGUCUCCCAGAACACACGUGACCCACCCCCAACCCCCUGACUGUGGGGUCACCUUGAGGGGCUGUGUGCUCUGGGUUCCUGCCUUGUGGAGAUGACUGUGACCUGUCAAUAAACCAGGGAACACCAGAUCUAGUACAAGGAGCUUAUGGAGACCAGGCAGAAGGGGAUGGAACCAUCCAGAACUGACUUCCUGGUGAGGCCUGCGCUCCAAGGUGAGAAGUGACGUGAAGGUGGCACUUCCUGAUAGCCUGACAGUAGCUCCAAGUGAGAGGAAAGCAAGUAGGAUGGUAGGAAGUUGACCUUCAUGUUGGAAAGAGAAAACGGGAUGUCUGUCUUCAAAAAAGGGGAGGGCUGCCCUUUGGGGAGGACUGAGUAGUUCCUUAUGGGCUGGUGGACUGGGGCCUCAGCGUCUUGCUGGAUGUAGGCAGAUGCUGACCUCAGUUUCUGGUCUUUCCAACACAGCUGCUUGCUUCAGCAAAGCUUCCAAGGGGAGAAGAUAGUAAAAACUCAUCAGCAAAAUGCAAUUCAUAAUCAUAUAUAUUCCAAGCUCAUCACUGCCAUAUUUUAUUGGUUAGAAGAUAUUCCAGAUCCCACCCAUACUCAGUAGGAGGAGAUUCCACAAGCCCAUGUGGACCAGGAGGUGGGGACCAUUGGGCCUUAUUAUAGAAUCUGCACAGGGAUGUUCCAGGUGACAGAUGGAAGGAAUGGGGGGUAGGAAGGUCUCUGCGCUGGAUGUGUUCACACACUGGAUGUGUUCAUAAAUCUGUACUUACCAGGCUGUUACCCUGCAGAGUAACUGAGCAACAUAAUUAUACUCUGGCUGCCCUGCUGAAUAUGACCUGCAGGCUGAGUUGUGUUAUCCAAGCAGGGUGUUAGCUAUGAGAAUCACGCUCAUUUGGAAAGGUCUGUCUCAACUUUGUAGAUCCUGAGAGGUCGUCCUCUCUGAAUAUUUCCCUCCUCAUUUGUCAAACCUUCUAAAUCUUUAGGAAGCGUGAUCACUACACUCAACCAUUUUGUUUCUUUCCUGCAUCGUGCUGCCUGGCUAACCCUCAUCUCUUACUAUUUCUGCCAGUCUGCCUCAGACAGGAUUCCACCAAGACAUUUCUUGUGAUUCCACUCUGUCAGUUUCUUUCCCUUCAUCCAGAUCAUUUCUUAGUGAUUUUCUCUUGUAUUGAUGAGUUAGUUACAUUAGGAGGUCACUAUUCUAUAAUUAAAUCUUCCUAAUAACUUUUGGACCUAAUGGGCAAAGUUUCUCUUUCCAAGUUUCAGGUCCUUCCCAUACAGGGAGAGUCACGAGUAGGUAUAGAACCUCAUCAGCAUGAGACAGGUGGGUCACAAAGGUGUGUACCUGUAUUUUCUUUCUAUCUCAAGCAUGUAGUACAACAUCUGGCUCUCAGCUUCUGCGUGGAGGCUGCUUCCCCAAACCUCAUCAGGAUAGUUACAUUUACCAGGGUAUUCACCCCACUCUGAAUUCCUUCAUGUUUCUCUCACUGAGCCUAGCAGAGAGCCUGACAUCUGCUACUGCCUAUUAUGUGUCUGCUAAAUGGAGGUGGGGUUUCUUGGGCAAUUCAGAAUUUAUUACAAAAGACUGAGACAUGCACAAGGUUGAAAACAUUUAUAGAACACAAAAGAGUAUACAGUAAAAAGUAAAUUUCCUCCUCUAUUCCCUCCACAAUUCUUCCAAACUCUCUCCUAGGUCAUAAGAGCUAUUACCAGUUUCCGCAGUAUUAUUAUGGGAGAGAUUUCCAUUUUAGGGGGUGGCAUUUUAUGAAAUAAUCUACCUCUAACUUUGUUCUCAAAUAACAAUAUAUUCUGAGAAGAUCCUAGAUUUUUACAUACAAAACUCAUUCAGGAUUAGAUUUUGAUAUUAGGUAUUGGUAAUAACAAUUCUGCCACAGGUGAUUUUUUAAAAUUUAAGUAAAGCAGAAAUCACCCUCAUUCCACAGCGACACAAUUUCAUGGAGUACAUGUUCCCUCAGAUUAAAAACCCCUUCAUUCACCAGCCUCCCAGGAGGUGACUUUUGUCUGUGUGACUACAUUUUUGCCAUUGUGGGGACACAGAAUGUGGUAGAAGGUUUUGUCCUAAAAGGAGGGAAACAUCCACUUUUUCUGUUCUCCCUGCCCUGCUCACGGACCACAGACAUGGUCUUAGGUGCCCUGGUCAUGCUAAUACGGAAAUUUCCCAGGGUCAUCGUCAGCAGCGUGUCUGGAUAGCCACGUGGUGCAGACUGACCCUACAGUCCCAGACGGCUCACCUCACUCGUGGGACACACACAAGCUGCUGUCCCAUGGACUACUGUUGGCUGGGUUUCUGUGGCACACAACUGAACUAAUGCAUAUGGAGAGGGGAGGGCUUCCUGGAGGGGGCGGCCAUGGUGGUCUGUUCUGGAGAUGAGCAGAGACAGAUACACAGGGGGCAGCACUGGGGGCUCCCUGGGACACUGUCUGUGUUGGAGGAAAGGAGAGCUGGGCCCCAGGGGCAGCACAGGGAGACUGGAGACUGUUCUCUCACCUUUGUAGCCACGGGGCUGUCCUGGGGCGUGCAUGGACUCACCAGCUGUUACAGUUGGGGGCCUGUGUUUCUUCUCUUCCCUUCCUGUACUUUUUACAGAAUUCCCCUGUUGACUGCAUCCAGGACGAGAAUCCCUGCUGGUGACCUUUCCUCCUCGUCCUCCUGUCUGAGGGCAGUGGCUAUGGGGGUUGAGAUUUGUGGGGGUUGAGAAACCCCUCAGAGGAAAAAGGAAUGCAGGGUCUUUUGUCAUGGGGGUCCACCAGAAAUCUGCACUUACCCAGGCUGGCUUGGACGGCCCACCUUGAGAGUGUGGACCCCAAAUGCCUCAUAUCUUGUGUCCUGAUAAUUCCAGAUAUUCACUGCAUAAUGUCACUCUAUUCUGUGUGCCACCAGCAAGUCACUAUGUCCAGCUUCGGUUCCAAAAGUGGGUAUUAUUACACAAGGGCAUGAAUACCGGAGGAUGGGAACACUGGAGCCAUCUUGGGAUCUGCCUACAGCAGGGGUGACUUUGGGAACCACCUGAAUGUGUGGCCUCUCACAGGCCUAUGGCUAGGAAUGCAGAGAGCAGACCAAAUGAAGAGCUCAAGUCCGAGGAUGUUGGUGAUCACUCCCCAGGAAUCCAGAUCAGAGUUGGGAUGUCACACGUAGUUACAGGGGGACAGGGCCUGAGGCUCCACCAGUCAGGUGACCACAUGCCAGACUCUGACUCAGGAUGUGUGUGACAGAGAAGCUGGGACAGUCCUACAUGCAUUUGGCACAGGUGGUGUGAGUGGCCGUCGUGUCAUCCCGCUGCCAGGAGCAGCAGUGACAGCAGUCCUGGCCUCAGGGUGUAGUCUUAUGAACAGUGGGACCUGUGCCCAGCACCGGGGGCAGUGGUUCCUCUUUGGUCCUUGAACUGGGGUGUGAUGGUGGAUUCUGUUCCUGCCUGUGCAGUCUUGGGCCUGUUCUGUGGCUUUCCAUGAAAUAAAAUGAGGCCUAGUACUCUAACAUUAUAUACACAAAAUAUAUAUUUUCCCUAUAAAUAUAUAUACUCAUAAUAUAUGGAUUUAAUUUAUAUUUAAUAUCUCAUCUUCUUUUUUCUUAAAAUAUGUUUUAAAAUUUAUUUAUUUUAUUAUAUAUAAUUUAUAUUUUAUAUGUUAAAUUAUAGAUAUGUAACUCUCCCUGAUAAUACAUUUAUACAAAUGUAUUUCUUUAUAAAUAUAUAUAGUUUCAAA